CAGAAGCAUCAAGGAGCAUUUCAGCCCUCACAGUGUUGUGCGUGAUCCUGGGGAUGCUGCUGUGCCUGGCCCUGGCCGCCCUGGCUGUGCAGGCACACCGCGCACGGGCCCAGUGCCAAGGCCCCAGCAAGGACGCCACUUCCGAGGUUGUGUAUGAGGAGCUUGACUACAGCCUGAUGCCCAAGUACCAGGAGGUGCCCAGCCACACAGGCUCCCUGUCCCAAGGCUCAUAAACAAAGAUGGCAGAUCACCCCAGGGAUGGCACUGAGGAGAAUGACCUCCAGGUGUCCUCAGACCCCCUUGCCCAGCCCCAGCACAGACCCUCGCAUGGCUACGACGAUGCUAUGGCUGUGCCGGAGGUGUUCCACUCUCCCCACACCGGGGAUGUCCUGGCACAGCCCCCCGAGGACAUGAGCUGUGAUGACAUUGGUGUCAGCAUCCUGGGGACAUCACUGUGAGCAGGCCCUGGAGACGUGGCUUGAACAGGGAUAUCUGUCCCCAAGAAGGGGUGGCUCUAGUCAUGGCAGCAUCACCUCUCCCUGCCUGGCGCUGCAGAACAGCAGCAACCUGCUCCAUUCUCCUACCUGCACCUGUAACACAACAGCUUGUCAGCUUUUUUGAAAUUAUUUUCUGUAACUCUUCCUUUAUAUCUUCUUUAUUAAAACCCCAAAUAUGUGUAGAAAUGAUUCCAGCCUUGGCUCCUCUACCUGAGUUCAUUGACCAUCCCUCAGGGCAGUGGGGAAAAGCUGGAUUUCAGAGAUAUCUCCGUUGGCUCUGGGCACCGGGGAAACAACGGGAAGAGUGGGAAAGCUCAUGGAGAUGAGGUGGGAUGGCUCCCAGGACUGCUGCACUGCAGGGGAAGGAUAACAAGGACCGCGUGUCCCACAGGCACACAGGUGCAGGCACGCUGCCACACGCUGUGGUUUCACCCGGCAGGCAGCUGAGCAGCACCCGGCCGUUCGCUCACUCCGCCCCUGCCCCCAGUGUGCAAUGCGGGAGAGAGCUGUAAACAAACUCGUGGGGCGAGAUACAAGCGGAAAAGGACAGAAAGGGAAAACAGUCACAGACAUUCAGAUGAUAACUGUACAUGCAUGUAUCUCCACACAAAUUCACAGCCUUUGCACAGACGUUUUGAUAAGCAAACCUGAGUAAGCUGACUCUCACCCUGCGCUUGCUGGUAGGAUCUCCUCUUCUGAGGACACCUCUGUUGUGGGUGGGAAGAGGACACAUGGUAAAGAGCUCCCUCUGAAACAAGAGACAUCGUAUCAGGGGCCUGAGUCUCCUCCUGCACCUGUCUGUUCCUGUACUCUGUAAGGACCUGCAGUGGCUGAGGACAGGAUUCACAUCCCUGCUGUACGUUCCUGAUGGAAGGUGCCAAGCAGCUGUCCCUGGAGUUUUCAUUAAGUCCUGGAAUGGGUUGUCCUUACUUAUCUGCUCUAUGCCAGUGCUGGGUGCCGCUGCCAGGAGGAAUGACAGCCUCCUGGCUGGCAGCGCAUGUCCCUCCCUAGUAAGCAAGGCCUUCCCGCCGGGGCCUCUCAGCUGGGCCCAGAGCCCUGCUGCAGAGCUGGCUGGUGCUGCCCGCAGAGCUGUAGGCCUGGCCCUGCUGAGCCCUGCUCUGGGGCUCCUGCUGCCUCAUGGGCCCUGCUCCAGAAGGUUGGUAGCCCGUGUUGGUGCUCUCGUGGCAGGGCAGUGCCAGAGCUCUGCAGCACGAGCACAACAGGGUGGGAGCAUUGCCCUGGGCCCUUCUGGCAUUCCUGUCCUGCACACUGCAGCCCUGCACCCUCAGCAGGAGCCCAGCCCCACAGCCGUGUUCUCAGGAGCCCCUGGUGCCCAUUGAGCCAUGUGGCCACUCACAGACCCUGCAGCGGGGCCAGGCGCA
Long non-coding RNA from Numida meleagris (helmeted guineafowl), 1879 nucleotides. RefSeq lists it as uncharacterized. The transcript has 4 exons. Lineage: Eukaryota; Metazoa; Chordata; Aves; Galliformes; Numididae. The record is from RefSeq and is a predicted model, not a curated record.